Molecule: long non-coding RNA, 1434 nt
Organism: Homo sapiens (human)
Lineage: Eukaryota; Metazoa; Chordata; Mammalia; Primates; Hominidae
Gene: SDAD1P1
Product: SDA1 domain containing 1 pseudogene 1
Source: Ensembl
CUGCGGGCCCCGGACGUGGAGACGCUCGAGUCAGGCUGACGCGCGCGCCGGGAACGAACUCUUGCGUGUGACUUGGGAUGACCGGAUGGGAUGAGUGAUGCCAGUGGCAGUGGGAGAGAGGAUGAGGAGAAACGGAAUGAGGAAGUGCGCUCCUGUGUUCGCGCCCGUGCCUCCUCUCACACAGGCUCCACAGUGCUUCACCCAGCCCUGCGCACGCAUCUGUUUUCUACCUCUUAGGACUCACUUCUGCAAUAGGUGUCUUGGGGACACAAAGGAAUCCCCAAACCCAGGUGCCUCCACGUGUAAACUCCAAAUAAAGCUGCUGAAACAUCAACACUCCAUACGGGAAACAAGGGAAGGCCGCCCCCAAAUUUAAUUGUUACAGAAUUUUUAAAAUGUCGAUUACAAACACACCAUCAUUCUGAAAAAAAGAGAAAGAAGAAAGGGGAAGAAAGAAAAAAGAAAAAUUCAGGAAAACAGAGAGAAGAAAGUACUCACCCAAAUCCCAUCGACUAAUCGAUUUCUGGGACAUGACGUGGGAAGCCGUUUAUCCUGUACGUGGAUGACAUUAAACUAUGUUCCUGAGCACACCUCCUACUUCACAUCUCCAUGUCUUCGUCCAGUCUCCUUGAUGUUAAUGGCUAGUUACUCUUCAGAUGAACUUAAAAAUGGACUUGUCCAAGAUUGACCUUGUGUUGGUUCUCACUCUGUCACGCAGGCUGGAGUUCAGUGGCAGGAUCCCAGCUCACUGCAACCUCCACCUCCUGGGUUCAAGCGAUUCUUGUGCCUCAGCCUCCUGAGUAGCUGGGAUUACAGGUAUGUACCACCAUGCCCAGCUUUUUUGUAUUUUUAGUAAUAAAGAUGGGGUCUCACCAUGUUGGCCAGGCUGGUCUUAACUCCUGACCUCACGUGAUCCACCUACCUUGGCCUCCCCUAGUGUUGGGCUUACAGACAUGAGCCACCACGCCCAGCUGAUAUCCCCACUUAAUAUUUACUUUUCUCAUUUUAGCUAUAGUUGUACUUCUAUUACUUGAUUGUGGCAAUAGCUACUGGAUACAAAUACUAUUACCUGAUUUAUUAAGAUGAUUAAUUUUCAUAAGAAAUAAGGUAAUAUACUUGCCCUACCAAUUACUUUAUUUAUUUAGAGACAGAGUCUCGUUCUGUCGCCCAGGCUGGAGUGCAGUGGCGUUCGAGACCAGCCUGGGCAACAUGGUGAAACCCCAUCUCUACGAAAAAUACAAAAGGGUGUGGUGGUGCACAUCUGUAGUCCCAGCUACCUGGGAGGCUGAGGUGGGAGGAUCACCUGAGCUUGGGGUUUAAGGUAGCAGUGAACUGUGAUUGCACCACUGCCCUACUGCCCUCCAGUCUGGGUGAUGGAGUAAGACUGUCUCAAAAAUAAAGUAAAUAAAUAAAAAGAAAAAAGAAAAACAGAAA